RNAcentral lists this ribosomal RNA (474 nucleotides) under uncultured bacterium. Its description in RNAcentral is "bacterial SSU rRNA". It matches the Rfam family "Bacterial small subunit ribosomal RNA", at positions 8 to 526 of the family's 1533-position model. The record is from RNAcentral.
AGAGUUUGAUCAUGGCUCAGAGCGAACGCUGGCGGCAGGCUUAACACAUGCAAGUCGAGCGGAUGUAGCAAUACAUCAGCGGCAGACGGGUGAGUAACACGUGGGAACGUACCUUUUGGUUCGGAACAACACAGGGAAACUUGUGCUAAUACCGGAUAAGCCCUUACGGGGAAAGAUUUAUCGCCGAAAGAUCGGCCCGCGUCUGAUUAGCUAGUUGGUGAGGUAACGGCUCACCAAGGCGACGAUCAGUAGCUGGUCUGAGAGGAUGAUCAGCCACAUUGGGACUGAGACACGGCCCAAACUCCUACGGGAGGCAGCAGUGGGGAAUAUUGGACAAUGGGGGCAACCCUGAUCCAGCCAUGCCGCGUGAGUGAUGAAGGCCCUAGGGUUGUAAAGCUCUUUUGUGCGGGAAGAUAAUGACGGUACCGCAAGAAUAAGCCCCGGCUAACUUCGUGCCAGCCGCCGCGGUAAUUC